RNAcentral lists this ribosomal RNA (442 nucleotides) under uncultured bacterium. RNAcentral describes it as "partial 16S ribosomal RNA". It matches the Rfam family "Bacterial small subunit ribosomal RNA", at positions 339 to 795 of the family's 1533-position model. The record is from RNAcentral.
CUACGGGUCGCACCAGUGGGGAAUAUUGCACAAUGGGGGAAACCCUGAUGCAGCAACGCCGCGUGAAGGAAGAAGGCUCUUGGGUUGUAAACUUCUUUGAAUGGGGACGAAACAAAUGACGGUACCCAUAAAACAAGCCACGGCUAACUACGUGCCAGCAGCCGCGGUAAUACGUAGGUGGCAAGCGUUAUCCGGAAUUACUGGGUGUAAAGGGCGUGUAGGCGGGAGAGCAAGUCAGAUGUGAAAUGCCAAGGCUUAACCAUGGAACUGCAUCUGAAACUGUUUUUCUUGAGUACUGGAGAGGAAAGUGGAAUUCCUAGUGUAGCGGUGAAAUGCGUAGAGAUUAGGAGGAACACCAGUGGCGAAGGCGGCUUUCUGGACAGUAACUGACGCUGAGGCGCGAAAGCGUGGGGAGCAAACAGGAUUAGAUACCCUAGUAGUC